AGACUCAACCUCUCGGGUUUCUGCCCGACCGGUUGGACUUGGGUGUUUUGCCUUGGUUGGCUCACCUGAAAUAUCUUAGUGACUUUUCCUGAGGGAUCUGUGCUGGCGUGAUACGUUUCGCUUGGCCUGCCCUUGGUAGUUGCUCAUAAUCGCCCUUACCGGCAAUAUACUUUGA
Molecule: unclassified non-coding RNA, 175 nt
Filed under: uncultured Basidiomycota
Lineage: Eukaryota; Fungi; Basidiomycota
Description: sequence contains ITS2
Source: RNAcentral